Molecule: RNA transcript, 768 nt
Organism: Quercus robur (English oak)
Lineage: Eukaryota; Viridiplantae; Streptophyta; Magnoliopsida; Fagales; Fagaceae
Exons: 4
Source: RefSeq, a predicted model, not a curated record
CGUUGGAUGAAAUCAGGUGGUAUACUGUACAUUACGAACUCCAUUUACAAUCGCUCUCUGACCUCUGUAGUCUGUAUCUGUUUUUUGUUGUUUGGUGUAGCGUUGUUCGAGCUUUCUUCGCUAAGCAGUGAUAGUGAACCCCUCUCUCUCUCUCUCUCUCUCUCUCAUCAAGUUCCUGUGUAGCAAAUGGCAAUGAGGAAAUUCUACAGCGAGAUCAAGGGCCUGAAGGUGAAGGAGGUGCCUGAACAUGUGAAGCCGAUGCUUUCCACCAACUAUUUGAAGAAUGCAUUUCAGAGAUGGCUGGACAACUACCAUGCCAAGUACAUUCAAACCAGCUCCGUUGAGCCGCUCUUCCAUGUCUGCUAUGGUGGAAUGAUCUUUUCCUACCUGGUUGCACUCCCUGAGGAACGCCGCCACCUUAAGCACCAGGAGCAUGCCAAGGAGCAUGGAGGGCACUGAUGAUCAAUUUAUUGCAGGAGUACUGUGAUGUUUCGUUGCUUUUAUCAUUGGAUAUUAUUGACGAGGUUCCCCAGUCUUGGUUGGGAGACCAUUGAAAUGCUUAUCGUUCUUUGGUUUUGAUAUCUGGAAAUUGUUAACAGAGAAAUACUGUUCUUAAUUGCAUGGCAGCAUUAAGCACAAUAAGAUCCACAUGAAUGAUGUUUACAGUACUUUAUUAUUUUAGUUGGAUUGUUGAAAAAAAUGUGUAUCAGGGGAAUUAUGCUUUGUUACUUUAUUUGUUUUGAUUGCUGAGUCCUGUUGAUUAGAUGA